This 406-nucleotide ribosomal RNA is filed under the name uncultured bacterium. RNAcentral's name for it is "partial 16S ribosomal RNA". It matches the Rfam family "Bacterial small subunit ribosomal RNA", at positions 30 to 526 of the family's 1533-position model. The record is from RNAcentral.
AUUGAACGCUGGCGGCAGGCCUAACACAUGCAAGUCGAGCGAGCGGCGGACGGGUGAGUAAUGUAUGGGGAUAUGCCCGAUAGAGGGGGACAACUACUGGAAACGGUGGCUAAUACAGCAUAUUCCAGGAUGAUCCCAUAUGGGAUUAGCUAGUGGGUGGGGUAAACGCUCAACUAGGCGACGAUCUCUAGCUGGUCUGAGAGGAUGACGAGCCACACUGGGACUGAGACACGGCCCAGAUGCCUCCGGGAGUCAGCAGUGGGGAAUAUUGAACAAUGGACGCAAGCCUGAUGCAGCCAUGCCGCGUGUAUGAAGAAGGCCUGAGGGUUGAAAAAAACUGGCAGCCGGGAGGCGUUACCUGAAGAAUAAGCACCGGCUAACUCCGUGCCAGCAGCCGCGGUAAUUC